GGGCUCGUGGUCUAACGGGAUGACGCCGGUAUGGCAUACCGGCAGUCCGGGUUCAAUUCCCGGCGGGUCCA
Molecule: transfer RNA, 71 nt
Filed under: Fimbriiglobus ruber
Lineage: Bacteria; Pseudomonadati; Planctomycetota; Planctomycetia; Gemmatales; Gemmataceae
Rfam family: tRNA
About the family: Transfer RNA (tRNA) molecules are approximately 80 nucleotides in length. Their secondary structure includes four short double-helical elements and three loops (D, anti-codon, and T loops). Further hydrogen bonds mediate the characteristic L-shaped molecular structure. tRNAs have two regions of fundamental functional importance: the anti-codon, which is responsible for specific mRNA codon recognition, and the 3' end, to which the tRNAs corresponding amino acid is attached (by aminoacyl-tRNA synthetases). tRNAs cope with the degeneracy of the genetic code in two manners: having more than one tRNA (with a specific anti-codon) for a particular amino acid; and 'wobble' base-pairing, i.e. permitting non-standard base-pairing at the 3rd anti-codon position.
Source: Rfam by way of RNAcentral